AAGCCAUCUUGGUAAAUUUCCCCAACAGUGUGAAGUUAGAAUUCCUUCAGGGUGAUGCCAGGUUCUAUUUGGAAUUUAUAUACAACCUGCUUGGGUGGAGAAGCCAUUGUCUUCGGAAACCUUGGUGUAGUUGAACUGAUAGUUACUGUUGUGACCUGAAGUUCACCAUUAAAAGGGAUUACCCAAGCAAAAUCAUGGAAUGGUUAUAAAAGUGAUUGUUGGCACAUCCUAUGCAAUAUAUCUAAAUUGAAUAAUGGUACCAGAUAAAAUUAUAGAUGGGAAUGAAGCUUGUGUAUCAUCCAUUAUCAUGUGUAAUCAAUAAACGAUUUAAUUCUCUUGAAAAAAAAAA
RNAcentral lists this long non-coding RNA (349 nucleotides) under Homo sapiens (human). Its description in RNAcentral is "lncAB562.1". The record is from RNAcentral. Lineage: Eukaryota; Metazoa; Chordata; Mammalia; Primates; Hominidae.